Molecule: ribosomal RNA, 428 nt
Filed under: uncultured bacterium
Lineage: Bacteria
Description: bacterial SSU rRNA
Rfam family: Bacterial small subunit ribosomal RNA
Source: RNAcentral
UGGGGAAUUUUGCGCAAUGGACGAAAGUCUGACGCAGCGACGCCGCGUGGGUGAUGAAGGCCUUCGGGUUGUAAAGCCCUGUGGGGAGGGAAGAAUAAGGUGUGGCUAAUAACCGCACCGAUGACGGUACCUCCUUAGCAAGCACCGGCUAACUCUGUGCCAGCAGCCGCGGUAAGACAGAGGGUGCGAACGUUGUUCGGAAUUACUGGGCGUAAAGCGCGUGUAGGCGGCCACAUAAGUCGGGUGUGAAAGCCCUCGGCUCAACCGAGGAAGUGCAUUCGAAACUGCGUGGCUUGAGUCCCGGAGAGGAUAGUGGAAUUCUCGGUGUAGAGGUGAAAUUCGUAGAUAUCGAGAGGAACACCGGUGGCGAAGGCGGCUAUCUGGACGGUGACUGACGCUGAGACGCGAAAGCAUGGGGAGCAAACAGG